UGUUGAGAGAAAGAAAUCAAACGUAAAAAAGAGAGAGAGAGUGAGAGAGAGAGAGAGAAGGGAAUGUAAUUCUGCAUUUCCUAAUUUUGCAAAAUUAAUUUUAGCCAGGCUCAAGGAAGGUAGGGGUGAAAGCAGGAAAAUCCCUGCUCAUGCUGCCUGUCCUUAUUGUAUAAACCCCGAUUCUUCUUAUUCAGGAUAACCCUCAAUGACUGAAGCUGGGACGGAAAAAACAUCUGCAUUGUGCUGCAGACUCAAAUCCUGCCACAGCUAUAAUCUCUGGGACUCAAACUUGAACCAAACAGGAUUAUGCAAAGGCCAGGAUAAUAUUUGGUGUGAACUAAAGGUACGAGGAAAGGCACAUUUCUUUCAAGGCCACCUGCCAUAUUUAAGCUUCCAUGACAGAGGAACAUGAACCAGAUUUUCCUUGAGAGCUCCCUGCGAGUUGAGAUGCUCUCAGGACUCUCCAGCAGUUUGAAACGGAGGGCAGCGAAGUGCAGGAGGAAGUUUUUGGUGCUCACCUUAAGUCAGCGUGCGUGUGUGUGUGUGUGUCUAUGUCCCGAGUGUCUGUUUGUGGGUCUGGGUGGCAGAGGACCUGAUCCAGGGAAGAGAGAGCCACUUUCUCACCGAGAGGAAAAGAAAAGCAACACGUCAUGAGUUAAGUACGCCUCCAAGAUGUCUUAAUUACAGCCCAACGUGCUUCCAUUCAGACCCCAGGAAUGAGAGGAAAAAAUAAACCCACACACGCGCGGUUUUCCCUGCCGCUCACACACCCACACACACCCACCCCGCCCCAGCAGGCUGCCCUCUCCCUCCAGGUCCCUGUCCUCGCCCCUCGGGUCCAUCCCGCCCAGAUCCGCACCUAAAAAAACCUCUCUCAACUCCAAACAAGUCCUGAGGGGAAAAAAAAAAUAAACAAAACAAACAAACGAA
Molecule: long non-coding RNA, 930 nt
Organism: Hirundo rustica (Barn swallow)
Lineage: Eukaryota; Metazoa; Chordata; Aves; Passeriformes; Hirundinidae
Exons: 3
Source: RefSeq, a predicted model, not a curated record